RNAcentral lists this ribosomal RNA (253 nucleotides) under uncultured bacterium. RNAcentral's name for it is "partial 16S ribosomal RNA". It matches the Rfam family "Bacterial small subunit ribosomal RNA", at positions 524 to 776 of the family's 1533-position model. The record is from RNAcentral.
UACAGAGGUGGCAAGCGUUGUUCGGAAUUACUGGGCGUAAAGGGCGCGUAGGCGGCUUUUUAAGUCAGGGGUGAAAUCCUGGAGCUCAACUCCAGAACUGCCUUUGAUACUGGGAAGCUUGAGUCCGGGAGAGGUGAGUGGAACUCCGAGUGUAGAGGUGAAAUUCGUAGAUAUUCGGAAGAACACCAGUGGCGAAGGCGGCUCACUGGCCCGGUACUGACGCUGAGGUGCGAAAGCGUGGGGAGCAAACAGG